Molecule: ribosomal RNA, 277 nt
Filed under: uncultured bacterium
Lineage: Bacteria
Description: partial 16S ribosomal RNA
Rfam family: Bacterial small subunit ribosomal RNA
Source: RNAcentral
CGGAACGGGUAGGAGUAACAACGUACGGGAACCGGUACGCCCGUCGCACCGGGAAGUAACGCUCUGGAAAACGGAGAACAAAUCCCGAUGUACAGGAAGGAGGGCAUCUUCUUUCUGUGAAACAUCCUUUAGGGGAUGGGGCGCGGAUGGACCUGCGGUGCAUUAGUUGGGUUGGCGGGGUAAAGGCCCACCAAGACGAUGAUGCAUAGCCGGCCUGAGAGGGCGGACGGCCACAUUGGGACUGAGACACGGCCCAGACUCCUACGGGAGGCAGCAG